ACAGGUUAAUAUUCCUGUACUUGGUGUUACUGCGAAGGGGGGACGGAGAAGGCUAUGUUAGCCGGGCGACGGUUGUCCCGGUUUAAGCAUGUAGGCUGGUUAUCCAGGCAAAUCCGGAUAACCAAGGCUGAGGUGUGAUGACGAGGCACUACGGUGCUGAAGUAACAAAUGCCCUGCUUCCAGGAAAAGCCUCUAAGCAUCAGGUAACAUUAAAUCGUACCCCAAACCGACACAGGUGGUCAGGUAGAGAAUACCAAGGCGCUUGAGAGAACUCGGGUGAAGGAACUAGGCAAAAUGGUGCCGUAACUUCGGGAGAAGGCACGCUGGUGUGUAGGUGAAGUCCCUGCGGAUGGAGCUGAGACCAGUCGAAGAUACCAGCUGGCUGCAACUGUUUAUUAAAAACACAGCACUGUGCAAACACGAAAGUGGACGUAUACGGUGUGACGCCUGCCCGGUGCCGGAAGGUUAAUUGAUGGGGUUAUCCGUAAGGAGAAGCUCUUGAUCGAAGCCCCGGUAAACGGCGGCCGUAACUNUUGGUGCCUUCGGGAACUGUGAGACAGGUGCUGCAUGGCUGUCGUCAGCUCGUGUUGUGAAAUGUUGGGUUAAGUCCCGCAACGAGCGCAACCCUUAUCCUUUGUUGCCAGCGGUCCGGCCGGGAACUCAAAGGAGACUGCCAGUGAUAAACUGGAGGAAGGUGGGGAUGACGUCAAGUCAUCAUGGCCCUUACGACCAGGGCUACACACGUGCUACAAUGGCAUAUACAAAGUGAAGCGACCUCGCGAGAGCAAGCGGACCUCAUAAAGUAUGUCGUAGUCCGGAUUGGAGUCUGCAACUCGACUCCAUGAAGUCGGAAUCGCUAGUAAUCGUAGAUCAGAAUGCUACGGUGAAUACGUUCCCGGGCCUUGUACACACCGCCCGUCACACCAUGGGAGUGGGUUGCAAAAGAAGUAGGUAGCUUAACCUUCGGGAGGGCGCUUACCACUUUGUGAUUCAUGACUGGGGUGAAGUCGUAACAAGGUAACCGUAGGGGAACCUGCGGUUG
This 1042-nucleotide ribosomal RNA is filed under the name Klebsiella pneumoniae. RNAcentral describes it as "bacterial SSU rRNA". The stretch from base 411 to 1042 matches the Rfam family "Bacterial small subunit ribosomal RNA", at positions 874 to 1520 of the family's 1533-position model. Lineage: Bacteria; Pseudomonadati; Pseudomonadota; Gammaproteobacteria; Enterobacterales; Enterobacteriaceae. The record is from RNAcentral.